UUCCUGCUGGCUCAGAUGGUAAAGAAUCUGCUUGCAAUGCAGGAGACCCAGGUUCGAUCCCUGGGUUGGGAA
This 72-nucleotide transfer RNA is filed under the name Ovis aries (sheep). It matches the Rfam family "tRNA". Rfam says of the family: Transfer RNA (tRNA) molecules are approximately 80 nucleotides in length. Their secondary structure includes four short double-helical elements and three loops (D, anti-codon, and T loops). The record is from Rfam by way of RNAcentral. Lineage: Eukaryota; Metazoa; Chordata; Mammalia; Artiodactyla; Bovidae.